GGGGAGGAUAGAGUGUACGCAGAUCAUAUAUCGACCUCAGAGGUAGAGAGGCCUUUUUUUGAUAAACCCUCAGCUCAAGAAUUCUAAUUUAGAUAUCAUUUAUCAAAUUUCUUGUUAAUCUAGAUGUGUGGAUGCAAAGGUCGAGGAUUAGGGCAAAAACUUAGUAAGUAGUGGAAGUUAUUAAAUGUGCCCAAAUGGAGUUCAACGGAUAUAGAGGGUUUGUAUGGAGAUUGGUUGACUAGUUUGGGAUCGAGAUGUUGUGGUUUUCUCGGGGAGUUCUAAUUUAGAUAUCAUUUAAUGAAAUUUCUUGUUAAUCUUAGAUAUAUGGAUGUGAGGUCGAGAAUUAGGAUAGAAAGGUAGUAGGUACUCUGAGUUGUAUAGUUUUUUUUUUUUUUUUAAAUUAUUAUUAAAUUACUCUUUUUACUAUCUUAGAGUUCAAUGGAUAUAGAGGAUUCAUAUGGAGAUGCUUAGCUAGUUUGGGAUCGAGACAUUGUUGUUUCUUCGUGGAGUUCUUCUAAUUUAGAUAUUGUUUGGUAAAAUUUCUUGUUCAUCUUGGAUAUGAGGAUGUGGAGGUCGAGUAUUAGGGUAGAAAGUUAGUAGGUAGUCGAGAAUUGCUAAAUGUGCCCAAGGGGAGUUGAAUGGAUAUAGAGGAUUCAGAUGGAGAUUGCUUAACUAGUUUUGGAUCGAGAUGUUGUUGAUGUGGAGUUCUUCUAAUUUGGAUUCUCAUUUAGCGAAAUUUCUUGUUAAUCUAGAUAUGAGGAUGUGGAAGUCGAGAAUUAGGGUAGAAAGUUUGUAGGUUGUCAAGAGUUAUAUGGUUUCUCUUUUAAGUAUUAUUAUAACUAUUUUUACUAUCUUAAGUUCAAUGGAUAUAGAGGAUUCAUGUGGAAAUGGUUAGCUAGUUUGGGAUCGAGACGUUGUUGCUGUGGAGUUGUUCUAAUUUAGAUAUCAUUUAGCAAAAUUUCUUUCUAAUUUUAGAUAUGAGGAUUUGGAGUUCGAGGAUUAGGGUGGAAAGCUAGCCGGUAGUCCAGAGCUGUAUAGUUUCUCUUUUCAGUAUUGUUAUUACUCUUUUUACUAUCUUGGUGUUCGAUUUCUUGUUACCCUGCAUUUACUUUCACCCUGACCGUUUGUUAUUGCUACGGUUCUUUUCUUCAUUAUUUUCUAAUUAUAUGGAGAUUCCUUAACUAGUUUGGAAUUGAGAUUUUGCUGCGGUGGUGGUGGAGUUCUGAUUAGAUUUUCAUUUAGCAAACUUUCUUGUUUAUGAUAGGAGAAUGUGGAGGUUGAGUAUUAGGGUAGAAAGUUAGUAGGCAGCCGAGAGUUGCUAAAUGUACAUAUAUAGAGUUUAAUGGAUAUCAAGGAUUCAUAUGGAGAUUGCUUAACUAGUUUGGAAUCGAGACGCUGUUGUUGAGUUCUUCUAAUUUAGAUAUACAACAUCAUACCUAGUGUAAUCGCACAAAGUGGAGUUUGGGGAGGAUAGAGUGUACGCAGAUCAUAUAUCGACCUCAGAGGUAGAGAGGCCUUUUUUUGAUAAACCCUCAGCUCAAGAAUUCUAAUUUAGAUAUCAUUUAUCAAAUUUCUUGUUAAUCUAGAUGUGUGGAUGCAAAG
Molecule: long non-coding RNA, 1602 nt
Filed under: Capsicum annuum
Lineage: Eukaryota; Viridiplantae; Streptophyta; Magnoliopsida; Solanales; Solanaceae
Description: long non-coding RNA (CANN_LNC013515)
Source: RNAcentral